AGAGUUUGAUCAUGGCUCAGAACGAACGCUGGCGGCGCGUUUUAAGCAUGCAAGUCGAACGGUAUCCGUCCGACCACUAAACCCAUUAGGCGAGUAACGCUGGAUUUCCGGCAAAUGGAAAAGCAGUGAAGAAAGUUUUGUGAGUUUAGUGGUCGGACGGAGAGAGUGGCGCACGGGUGAGUAACACGUAGGUGAUCUGCCCUUGGAUUGGGGAUAGCUCAUGGAAACAUGAGAUAAUACCGAAUACGCCCGACCACUAAAUCAUACAGACAAGGAGGGAUGAAUACUCUUUUUGUAGGCAUGAUUUAGUGGUCGGGGAAAGCUCCUUUACGGGAGCGUCCUUGGAUGAGCCUGCGGUCCAUUAGCCAGUUGGUGGGGUAACGGCCUACCAAAGCGACGAUGGAUAGCCGGCCUGAGAGGGUGUACGGCCACACUGGAACUGAGACACGGUCCAGACUCCUACGGGAGGCAGCAGCUAAGAAUCUUCUGCAAUGGGCGAAAGCCUGACAGAGCGACGCCGCGUGAACGAUGAAGGCCGCAAGGUUGUAAAGUUCUUUUCUUUGUGAGGAAUAAGGGAGAGAGGAAAUGCUCUUCUGAUGACGUAAGCGAAGGAAUAAGCCCCGGCCAAUUACGUGCCAGCAGCCGCGGUAAUACGUAUGGGGCGAGCGUUGUUCGGAAUCAUUGGGCGUAAAGGGCGUGUAGGCGGCAUAGCAAGCUUGGUGUGAAAUGUCACGGCUUAACCGUGAAUGUGCGCUGAGAACUGCUAAGCUUGAGUUUUGGGGGGGAAGCUGGAAUUCCUGGUGUAGGGGUGAAAUCUGUAGAUAUCAGGAAGAACACCGAUGGCGAAGGCAAGCUUCUAUCCAAAGACUGACGCUGAGGCGCGAAAGUGUGGGGAGCGAACAGGAUUAGAUACCCUAGUAGUCC
RNAcentral lists this ribosomal RNA (924 nucleotides) under uncultured bacterium. Its description in RNAcentral is "bacterial SSU rRNA". It matches the Rfam family "Bacterial small subunit ribosomal RNA", at positions 8 to 796 of the family's 1533-position model. The record is from RNAcentral.